RNAcentral lists this ribosomal RNA (498 nucleotides) under uncultured bacterium. RNAcentral describes it as "bacterial SSU rRNA". It matches the Rfam family "Bacterial small subunit ribosomal RNA", at positions 28 to 521 of the family's 1533-position model. The record is from RNAcentral.
GACGAACGCUGGCGGCGUGCUUAACACAUGCAAGUCGAGCGGUAAGGCCCUUUCGGGGGUACACGAGCGGCGAACGGGUGAGUAACACGUGGGUGACCUGCCCUCAGCUCUGGGAUAAGCCUGGGAAACCGGGUCUAAUACUGGAUAUGACUCCAUGACGCAUGUUGUGGGGUGGAAAGCCUUGUGCGGCUGAGGAUGGGCCCGCGGCCUAUCAGCUUGUUGGUGGGGUGAGGCCUACCAAGGCGACGACGGGUAGCCGGCCUGAGAGGGCGACCGGCCACACUGGGACUGAGACACGGCCCAGACUCCUACGGGAGGCAGCAGUGGGGAAUAUUGGACAAUGGGGGCAACCCUGAUCCAGCGACGCCGCGUGGGUGAAGAAGGCCUGCGGGUUGUAAAGCCCUUUCGGUGGGGAAGAAAAGUCUCGACCUAAUACGUCGGGACCUUGACGUAACCCACUAAAGAAGCACCGGCUAACUCUGUGCCAGCAGCCGCCGU